Molecule: non-coding RNA, 97 nt
Organism: Tinamus guttatus (white-throated tinamou)
Lineage: Eukaryota; Metazoa; Chordata; Aves; Tinamiformes; Tinamidae
Source: RefSeq, a predicted model, not a curated record
CACGCUGCUGUUGGACUUGGCAACAUGCAGCUUGUAAGUCACUCCCCCAAGCUCUAUUUCAACAGAGCAUUUACAGCAAUUAAAUUUAAUUUUCAAA